CGACCGGGUGAGUAACACGUGACUAACCUACCCUACAUGGGGGGAUAACCUCGGGAAACCGGGGCUAAUACCGCAUAACAUCGCAGAGUGAAACUCUUUGCGAUCAAAGGAGCAAUUCGCUGAAGGAGGGGGUCGCGGCUGAUUAGCUAGUUGGUGAGGUAACGGCCCACCAAGGCUUUGAUCAGUAGCCGGCCUGAGAGGGCGCACGGCCACACUGGAACUGAAACACGGUCCAG
This 236-nucleotide ribosomal RNA is filed under the name uncultured bacterium. Its description in RNAcentral is "partial 16S ribosomal RNA". It matches the Rfam family "Bacterial small subunit ribosomal RNA", at positions 99 to 334 of the family's 1533-position model. The record is from RNAcentral.